GAUAAACGCUGGCGGCGUGCUUAACACAUGCAAGUCGAACGAAGUUUUUCCUUCGGGAGAAACUUAGUGGCGGACGGGUGAGUAACGCGUGGGUAACCUGCCCUGUACAGGGGGACAACAGCUGGAAACGGCUGCUAAUACCGCAUAAGCACUUAGCACUGCAUGGUGCAUAGGGAAAAGGAGCAAUCCGGUACAGGAUGGACCCGCGUCUGAUUAGCCAGUUGGCAGGGUAACGGCCUACCAAAGCGACGAUCAGUAGCCGAUCUGAGAGGAUGUACGGCCACAUUGGGACUGAGACACGGCCCAGACUCCUACGGGAGGCAGCAGUGGGGAAUAUUGCACAAUGGAGGAAACUCUGAUGCAGCGACGCCGCGUGAGUGAAGAAGUAUUUCGGUAUGUAAAGCUCUAUCAGCAGGGAAGAAAAUGACGGUACUUGACUAAGAAGCACCGGCUAAAUACGUG
This 462-nucleotide ribosomal RNA is filed under the name uncultured bacterium. RNAcentral's name for it is "partial 16S ribosomal RNA". It matches the Rfam family "Bacterial small subunit ribosomal RNA", at positions 28 to 507 of the family's 1533-position model. The record is from RNAcentral.